Molecule: non-coding RNA, 28 nt
Filed under: Rattus norvegicus (Norway rat)
Lineage: Eukaryota; Metazoa; Chordata; Mammalia; Rodentia; Muridae
Source: RNAcentral
UCUUAAACCCCUUACGUGAAUUUGGAGA